UACGGGGGGGGCAAGCGUUGUUCGGAAUUACUGGGCGUAAAGGGUUCGUAGGUGGCUUGCUAAGUCUGACGUGAAAUCCCUCAGCUUAACUGGGGAACUGCGUCUGAUACUGGUGAGCUUGAGUGCAGGAGAGGAACGCGGAAUUCCAGGUGUAGCGGUGAAAUGCGUAGAUAUCUGGAGGAACACCGGUGGCGAAGGCGGCGUUCUGGACUGCAACUGACACUGAGGAACGAAAGCCAGGGGAGCAAACGGG
RNAcentral lists this ribosomal RNA (253 nucleotides) under uncultured bacterium. RNAcentral's name for it is "partial 16S ribosomal RNA". It matches the Rfam family "Bacterial small subunit ribosomal RNA", at positions 524 to 776 of the family's 1533-position model. The record is from RNAcentral.